This 253-nucleotide ribosomal RNA is filed under the name uncultured bacterium. RNAcentral describes it as "partial 16S ribosomal RNA". It matches the Rfam family "Bacterial small subunit ribosomal RNA", at positions 524 to 776 of the family's 1533-position model. The record is from RNAcentral.
UACGUAGGGUGCAAGCGUUAAUCGGAAUUACUGGGCGUAAAGCGUGCGCAGGCGGCUUUGCAAGACAGAUGUGAAAUCCCCGGGCUCAACCUGGGAACUGCAUUUGUGACUGCAUGGCUAGAGUGCGGCAGAGGGGGAUGGAAUUCCGCGUGUAGCAGUGAAAUGCGUAGAGAUGUGGAGGAACACCGAUGGCGAAGGCAGCCCCCUGGGCUAACACUGACGCUCAUGCACGAAAGCGUGGGGAGCAAACAGG